UCUAAUAUGGCAGAAAAAUGCAUUGGAUUUAAACCCCAUUUAUAAAGAAAUUCUUUUUUUAGAA
This 64-nucleotide transfer RNA is filed under the name Lepidostoma inops. Its description in RNAcentral is "tRNA-Leu". It matches the Rfam family "tRNA". Rfam says of the family: Transfer RNA (tRNA) molecules are approximately 80 nucleotides in length. Their secondary structure includes four short double-helical elements and three loops (D, anti-codon, and T loops). RNAcentral also lists the same sequence under 2 other names. The record is from RNAcentral. Lineage: Eukaryota; Metazoa; Arthropoda; Insecta; Trichoptera; Lepidostomatidae.